RNAcentral lists this ribosomal RNA (247 nucleotides) under uncultured bacterium. Its description in RNAcentral is "partial 16S ribosomal RNA". It matches the Rfam family "Bacterial small subunit ribosomal RNA", at positions 355 to 593 of the family's 1533-position model. The record is from RNAcentral.
UAGGGAAUCUUCGGCAAUGGACGAAAGUCUGACCGAGCAACGCCGCGUGAGUGAAGAAGGUUUUCGGAUCGUAAAACUCUGUUGGUAGAGAAGAACGUUGGUGAGAGUGGAAAGCUCAUCAAGUGACGGUAACUACCCAGAAAGGGACGGCUAACUACGUGCCAGCAGCCGCGGUAAUACGUAGGUCCCGAGCGUUGUCCGGAUUUAUUGGGCGUAAAGCGAGCGCAGGUGGUUUAUUAAGUCUGGU